RNAcentral lists this transfer RNA (72 nucleotides) under Dactylellina haptotyla CBS 200.50. RNAcentral describes it as "tRNA-Trp (CCA) (tRNA-Trp-CCA-2-1)". It matches the Rfam family "tRNA". Rfam says of the family: Transfer RNA (tRNA) molecules are approximately 80 nucleotides in length. Their secondary structure includes four short double-helical elements and three loops (D, anti-codon, and T loops). Further hydrogen bonds mediate the characteristic L-shaped molecular structure. tRNAs have two regions of fundamental functional importance: the anti-codon, which is responsible for specific mRNA codon recognition, and the 3' end, to which the tRNAs corresponding amino acid is attached (by aminoacyl-tRNA synthetases). tRNAs cope with the degeneracy of the genetic code in two manners: having more than one tRNA (with a specific anti-codon) for a particular amino acid; and 'wobble' base-pairing, i.e. permitting non-standard base-pairing at the 3rd anti-codon position. Lineage: Eukaryota; Fungi; Ascomycota; Orbiliomycetes; Orbiliales; Orbiliaceae. The record is from RNAcentral.
GACUCAUUGGCGCAACGGUAGCGCGUUCGACUCCAGAUCGAAAGGCUAAGCGUUCAAAUCGCUUAUGGGUCA